Molecule: long non-coding RNA, 1478 nt
Filed under: Marmota monax (woodchuck)
Lineage: Eukaryota; Metazoa; Chordata; Mammalia; Rodentia; Sciuridae
Source: RNAcentral
AUCUUCUGGUAUCCUGAAGUCUGGAUUACUUUUUUUCCUGUGGUGGAUGUGUUCUCAAGGUCAGAUAAGUUAGCCUAAGAGGGGGAAGAAAGGUAAUCCUGUUUCCCUGAGAAUAGGGAAGGGGAGAGAUUAGGGAGGAGCAAGGAGAGAGAAAGAGAAAAAAAAAUUACUCACUUAAAAAAUAAGUUGCAAUGUCAGAGCUGCAAGGACUAUAUUCAAAGCAUAAAGCAGACUAUGUCAAAUUCUACAUUUCAUUUCUAUGGAUAAAUAGGUGAUGACAUCUCCAAGCUGCUUUCUGCUGAAAGAGGGAGGUGGUGGGAAAAGUAGCAUAAAGUCCUUGUUUUCUAUAGUGAGGAGGUGGUGCAUGGAAAGUUAAGGGUAUUCAGCAUCAGAGCAGUCCAGAGGUCCACAGUGGCAGAUGGCAGGUGACAGGCAUAUAUAGAGCAGAGAUCAUGCUAAAACAACAAUAAACAAGACAGCAAAGCAUUACUUUUUUUGUAAACAAUCAGCACAAAAGCAAUUAGUGUUUAAGCCAGUUUCUGAACAUUAUGAACAUAGUAACUCGUAUCCAUAUAAGUGAAAAACAGAUUGAGUUUAUCAAUAUAAGAAGUCUGGAGGAUCUGUAAGUCCACAAGAUGAGGUUCAAAUUAACUCAGGACAAACUUGCAAGUGAGUACUUUGUGAUUAUUAUUAUUAGUCACUGCCACAAAAUAACCCUUCCUUUAUAGCCUCAAACUUUACUUACUUUUGGUAGGACUGACACAAGUGUAUACCUUAGGUUUCAUUUAAAAAUACAACAUUGUUUUUCAUUUUAAAUGCCCAUGUAGGACUGUGCUUAGGCUAUAAUGUGUUCAAGACCAAGUUGGUCAAAACCGACCUUGUUCCUAUCUACUCUUAAGACUCAUCUGAAAUUCCUCAGAAAUCACUCUUGAGUAUGUGUGCAAAACCUUUUUAGCUUUCCUCUACUAGUGAUGUCACCCACCAGGAAGGGUCAGAGUUCUGAUAAUCAGUGGAGCAAACUGUACCAUUCAGAGAGAAAAAGCAGGAGUUCUCUGAAGCAAAAAAAAAAAAAAAAUUUCAGCACCUGCUGGGAUGGUCCUUCAGUUUCUCCCUUUACUCACAGGAAUAAGUCCUCCAGUUUGACCUGAGGAAAAUUCACCCAUCUCCUAACUCUCUUGCCUCUGGCUCUCAACAAGUUUGCCAGCCAUCGUGCAUCCUCAGAAUGGAAGUGGGGUUCCUUAGAGAGCCAGACCUGUACAAGAAAGUUGGAAUGGGGACUGCUCUCUGGUUCCACCUGGGGUGCCAAUUUAUUGCUGAAAGCUCCAAAGUUGUCCCAGAUGCUAAUCCAAUAAUGAGGACACAGUUUUGAGAAAAAGAAAUCUUUAUUGUUUUGUUAGCAAAGGAGAAUCUGUCCCAGAGGCUGUGAAUCUCUGAUUUCAGUUAUUUUGAUAAAUAUCUAGAAGUGGGAUAGAUGGAUC